Molecule: long non-coding RNA, 1414 nt
Filed under: Fukomys damarensis (Damara mole-rat)
Lineage: Eukaryota; Metazoa; Chordata; Mammalia; Rodentia; Bathyergidae
Description: lncRNA (ENSFDAG00000028858.1)
Source: RNAcentral
AUGCUGCAUUUCACUUUUGUCCACUUUGCAGGCAGAUUAAGGAAACAUCACCUCCAGGGUUUCCUGUGUGCCUUUCUAGUUCCUACCUGUGGCUCCCAUGGGUCUCCAAGGAGCUGCUCCACUUCAGCAGCUCCAGGUUUCUGUUUGAAGGAUUUCAUUUGGGGGAUCAACUUCAAAAUCUAUUUCUUCUUUGGAAUGUACUCAUAGUACUGGAAAAUGUUUGACCCUCACAUGUUGAAAAAGAGCCAUUUAAUAUUUUUCUGAACCUGUGCAUGGCCUACCUGCCCCCUGGAGCCAAAAUAGAACGCAGCGGUAAGUAUUGAUUAUACUCUUUUACAACUAGAAUCAUACUGUAAGAAAGCGGGAGAAAUGGUCAGACUUACCUUAUGUUCAGACUUUCUUUACAUUAAGAAAUAAUGCAUAUUUGCAUUCAGCAUGUAAUUAUGAGCCAUAUCUGUGUUCAAAUGUUAUUCUCUCCUCUGUGACUGCUAGAUAUCAGGACCAAGUUUCUAGAAUGAUUAAUUUCCCUUCCGUGGGAUCCUUCCAAAGUGAAACUGAUCUCCACUUAUCUCUGAUUAUCUCUGGCCAUAUUAAAAAAACUUGUCUUGAUUUAAUUCUAAAACGUUCAAAGAAUAAAUAUAAAACCUUUCUUCAAGUUUAUCUGCCUUUCAGUCCUUAGGCAGAAUUUCAGAUUAAUUCUUCUUACUUCCUUCUCCCCUCAAGAAUGAUGCUGACCAGUUUUUAUAGCACAGGAUUCACUGACUAAUUUUUACAACAGAUAAGUUCAUCGAUUGAACAAAAGAUUCCUUGGAAACUUUAUUAGUUGAGUAACAGUUUUAAACAAACCUGAUAUUAAAGAACAGGAAUAGCCCCUGUCUCCAGAGAACUGCCUCUCAUCAUUAUUUCUCUCUAGAACAUCUUGUCAGGCCAGUCACUAUUCUCAGAGAUAUGCUAACUGAGGCUCUAAAAAAGGAAGGCCUAUACCUAAGUGUAGUCCAAACAUCACAGGCAAAAUAGAAAAUAACUGUCUGCAUAGGUAGACAUCUGCAGCAGGAUAGAUUGGAGCCUUUGCAGGCCUUCUAACCCCACUGUUUGGAAUAUAUACUUAGGUUCAAAGAGUGCCACAUACAUCUGAACUUAGCCUAUGCACCAUACUUGGAAAUGGUUAAAAAUUACUUUUUCACAGUCUUCUGCUCUAGAGAGAGCAGUUACAUGUGGCUAUCAAAACAGCACUUUUGGCUAUCAGAUAUUACUGUCCAACAACUAUGGCCAUCAAAGCAAUAACUAGAAGCCUGUAUAGCUAGAUAUUCCAAUCAGAUAAACUGUUAUCUUAGGACCCAUCUUAAAAACUGUCUUUGCUUUCAGAGGUGUAUUUGUUCUGAUUCGUAUUACAGGAGAUCUUUUUCAAUUGACC